GACAGAGGCCACAAGCGUUAGGCGGAAUCACUGGGCUUAAAGCGUGUGUAGGCGGAUCGUUAAGUGCCUUGUGAAAUCCCACCGCUCACCGGUGGAACUGCUGGGCAUACUGGCGAUCUUGAGCCAUCUAGGGGCGACUGGAACAGACGGUGGAGCGGUGAAAUGCGUAGAUAUCGUCUGGAACGCCAAGGGUGAAAACAGGUCGCUGGGGAUGUGCUGACGCUGAGACACGAAAGCCAGGGGAGCAAACGGG
This 253-nucleotide ribosomal RNA is filed under the name uncultured bacterium. RNAcentral describes it as "partial 16S ribosomal RNA". It matches the Rfam family "Bacterial small subunit ribosomal RNA", at positions 524 to 776 of the family's 1533-position model. The record is from RNAcentral.